Molecule: ribosomal RNA, 449 nt
Filed under: Fusobacterium periodonticum
Lineage: Bacteria; Fusobacteriati; Fusobacteriota; Fusobacteriia; Fusobacteriales; Fusobacteriaceae
Description: bacterial SSU rRNA
Rfam family: Bacterial small subunit ribosomal RNA
Source: RNAcentral
GAUGAACGCUGACAGAAUGCUUAACACAUGCAAGUCAACUUGAACUUCGGUUUGGGUGGCGGACGGGUGAGUAACGCGUAAAGAACUUGCCUCACAGAUAGGGACAAUAUUUGGAAACGAAUGCUAAUACCUGAUAUUAUAAUUUUAGGGCAUCCUAGGAUUAUGAAAGCUAUAUGCGCUGUGAGAGAGCUUUGCGUCCCAUUAGCUAGUUGGAGAGGUAACGGCUCACCAAGGCGAUGAUGGGUAGCCGGCCUGAGAGGGUGAUCGGCCACAAGGGGACUGAGACACGGCCCUUACUCCUACGGGAGGCAGCAGUGGGGAAUAUUGGACAAUGGACCAAGAGUCUGAUCCAGCAAUUCUGUGUGCACGAUGAAGUUUUUCGGAAUGUAAAGUGCUUUUCAGUUGGGAAGAAAAAAAUGACAGUACCAACAGAAGAAGUGACGGCUAAC